Molecule: unclassified non-coding RNA, 1253 nt
Filed under: Acanthaster planci (crown-of-thorns starfish)
Lineage: Eukaryota; Metazoa; Echinodermata; Asteroidea; Valvatida; Acanthasteridae
Description: putative lipoyltransferase 2, mitochondrial, transcript variant X2
Source: RNAcentral
ACUACGCGUGAACGUGGUGUGACUUGAGUGGCUAUUUCUUACUGCUUAUUUCGUAUUGUCGUGAUGUGGUGAAAAUCGCUUGAAUUAACAUCAAAAGGCUUCAACUGACAGCUUGUGGCACUCUUCGUCAAACAUCAGGCAGACACUUUCGGGCAGCAUGCAUUAGUCAAGUCCCGAUGUGUGUACAUGCUGGGGUCCCCCUACUGACAAAAGCAGUUGUCCUUUAAAGCAAAAGAGCACCAGCUCACUUCUCACACAAUCUAUACUUGACGAUGGAUUUGACUUGUUCAGGUGGUACACAUGUUUGCAGCUGGUGCUAGCAGACUAACUGGAAGACCAGCAAACUGCAUGGAAGAUGCUUCUGAUAACGGUGUGACAAGGUCAACUGAAAAGAGCAGUCUUUGUUUGACUCGGUCAUUGAUUCACAUACGUACUGUUUAAAUGUACGCUGUUGAAAAAACAAUAAGCUGCAAGAAAUAUUGACCUUUUAAGUUUUAAGCUGUGAUUCUGAGAGGUCACUUAAGGUCUUGCUUUUCAUGAGUACAUAUACCAUAAUAAGAAAUAAACAUUAAGAAACAUUGACCUUAACAAAAGGUGACAUGACUUUUCAAGCAUGCUGUCUUAUGCAUCAGUUUAUAUGGAACUUGUUUAAAGUAACUUUUGGCCUCAAGCAACUGGAUAAGCUGAGAGACUUGUGACAUAAAUAAUUACUAAGCCUGUAUGAAGGAUAGACACACUCCAGACCUGAAGUUGUGAUUGAACUUAGUUUUGGUUUUGUUCAACUUGAUCACAAAAGCAAUCCUAAUCAAAAGAGAAAUCUUGAAUGUACCUCUCAAUUUUUACUCCAAACAUGUAAAUGUUUUAAGCUUUUUCUCUGAAGUGAUGAAUGUGCUGAGAAAGAUGGUUGAAACCAUUGCCCAUUAUCAUUGGGGUCAACCUGAAUAGAUUUAUAACAAGUAAAAUCAUUGUCCUCGUUAAUUGAAAGUCCCAUUGUGUCGAAUUUGCAGGCACCCAUGUGCUUGAAAACCUCAGAUUUGGAAUGCCUUUUUGUGCACAAUUUACAAGCUAGUAUUUGAAGAGCUAAAGACACAACACGCAGAUUUAAAUGCUUGCAGGCCGGUUUCUUAACAUAAUCCCCUUUGCUUCUUUUUCAUAUUUAGAAAAUUGAUUGUACCCUUGGUCUGAAACGUAGGGUCUUCUGGUUUACACAAAUAAACCAAAGGAUUUAAGUACCUAUUUCCUAUUCUAAAUGU